GUAUUAGUUAUAUCGUGCUCCAAAUCAGCAAGCUGCUUGUCAGACAAGAACUUAUCAACCCCCCCAAAUCACUGUGUUCCUAGUCAUGAAGAUUGGUUGUUUGUCCAAGAGGCUGUCCUCAAGGCUUGGGAAACACAAAAUCUCCCUCCCCUCUCAGCCAAACCUCUUGGUCAAAUUGGUUUUCAAUGAUGAUCCCUCCGCAGGUUCACCUACGGAGA
This 218-nucleotide unclassified non-coding RNA is filed under the name uncultured fungus. Its description in RNAcentral is "sequence contains ITS1". The record is from RNAcentral. Lineage: Eukaryota; Fungi.